This 293-nucleotide long non-coding RNA is filed under the name Elaeis guineensis (African oil palm). Its description in RNAcentral is "long non-coding RNA (EGUI_LNC014959)". Lineage: Eukaryota; Viridiplantae; Streptophyta; Magnoliopsida; Arecales; Arecaceae. The record is from RNAcentral.
AUGGUUAUUCUAAUUUUUAUUAGAUGUCCAAGUAUUCGCUCUCCAAUGAUGAUCCAUAUAGAAAUCGAUCCAAGAACAGUGCUCCUUCUUGAACCUUACUUCAAGAGUUUUUAUUCUUAGAACUCAAAUAGCUUUUCAACUGAUCACACCCUCCUUCAGAACCAAGUCUGAACGUCUCAGAAUCUCCUUUGGGCUUUGAUCUCCUUUUUUAAGACCUCUUAAAUCCUUUGUCCUAAUAGAAGUAGUCUUGUCUUAAAAGAACAAGACCUUUGUCCUAAGAAACUAGAGUUGUA